Varroa destructor (honeybee mite) is the source of this 272-nucleotide long non-coding RNA. RefSeq lists it as uncharacterized. Lineage: Eukaryota; Metazoa; Arthropoda; Arachnida; Mesostigmata; Varroidae. The record is from RefSeq and is a predicted model, not a curated record.
GGGAGUUCGAGAUACCCAACUAACUGCAGACGAUCGGAAUCAGGCUAGCUGAAGUGCGCCCACUCACUGGCUGGCUAACCCCGAAACGUAUCGCGAUCCAGGUUGAAUCUCUUAAACAAGAGCAGAAUAUACCGUUCAUUAGCAAGCGAUCGGCUUUAUCAUCAUCAUCAUUGUCGUUACCUGCCUUCUCCUGACCACCCCAUCGAAACAGUAAUGAACGCAUCUAAGUUGUGUAUACAGCAGCUAUGGGGGUUGUUACCUCAUGGCACAAG